RNAcentral lists this ribosomal RNA (429 nucleotides) under Bacteroidota bacterium. RNAcentral's name for it is "Bacteroidetes bacterium partial 16S ribosomal RNA". It matches the Rfam family "Bacterial small subunit ribosomal RNA", at positions 355 to 776 of the family's 1533-position model. The record is from RNAcentral. Lineage: Bacteria; Pseudomonadati; Bacteroidota.
UAGGGAAUCUUCCGCAAUGGACGCAAGUCUGACGGAGCAACGCCGCGUGAGUGAAGAAGGAUUUCGGUUCGUAAAACUCUGUUGUUAGAGAAGAACAGCGCAUAGAGUAACUGUUAUGCGUGUGACGGUAUCUAACCAGAAAGCCACGGCUAACUACGUGCCAGCAGCCGCGGUAAUACGUAGGUGGCAAGCGUUGUCCGGAUUUAUUGGGCGUAAAGCGAGCGCAGGCGGUCAAUUAAGUCUGAUGUGAAAGCCCCCGGCUCAACCGGGGAGGGCCAUUGGAAACUGGUUGACUUGAGUGCAGAAGAGGAGAGUGGAAUUCCAUGUGUAGCGGUGAAAUGCGUAGAUAUAUGGAGGAACACCAGUGGCGAAGGCGACUCUCUGGUCUGUAACUGACGCUGAGGUUCGAAAGCGUGGGUAGCAAACAGG